UACAGAGACCUCAAGCGUUAUCCGGAAUCAUUGGGCGUAAAGCGUACCGAUAGGUGGUUAUACAAGUCAGAAGUGAAAUUCCAAAGCUCAACUUUGGGUCUGUCUUUUGAAACUGUAUAACUAGAAGGGCAAAGAGGAAGCUGGAACAAACGGUGUAGUAGUGAAAUGCGUUGAUAUCGUUUGGAACACCAAUAGCGUAGGCAGGCUUCUGGGUGCCACUUGACACUGCUAGGACGAAAGCGUGGGGAGCGAAUGGG
Molecule: ribosomal RNA, 257 nt
Filed under: uncultured bacterium
Lineage: Bacteria
Description: partial 16S ribosomal RNA
Rfam family: Bacterial small subunit ribosomal RNA
Source: RNAcentral